Molecule: long non-coding RNA, 4373 nt
Organism: Oreochromis aureus
Lineage: Eukaryota; Metazoa; Chordata; Actinopteri; Cichliformes; Cichlidae
Exons: 2
Source: RefSeq, a predicted model, not a curated record
UAUUGUGAAACAUUUUAAUUUCUUAUUCAUUACAUCUGUUAUGUGCUUAUGUGCUUAAUUACAUCUUUUAUGUGCUUAUGUGAUAAAAGAUAAAGUUACAUAAAAUCUUUGGAAAUCAAUGUUGGGAAAAGCCAGAAGAUUAAAGACAAUCUACUUACAAUAUGAUAAAACGUUAAAACUAUACAAAAGAAAGGAGUUCAAUUAAAUGAAAUAAGAGUAUCAAUAAAUUAUGUAAAUGUAAAGCAGACACUAAAGGUGAUGCGCCAGAAUGUCAUGCUGAAGAGAAUGAUUCUUUUAAAUCCAAGGGGUGGCAAGAGACUCAGAUAUGAAGGGCACAAAGAUGAAACAGGCCUGAUCUGAAACUGUUUAUUCCCAGGCCAGGGAGCACAAAUAAAAAGCACCCUUAAAAAGGUACACAAUAAAAUGUCAUCAAUAUCUAAAAUCCCCCAGAAAUAAACCAACCCAAUUCUAAAGCUAGUAAAAACAUAAUUUUCUACAUUCACAUUAUGGGUCUACAUUAUGGGUCCACCAGCAGGCCAGGAAUUCCUUCUCUAGAGGGGAGUCCACGUCAGCCUCGUCUCUGGCAGACGAGAAGGACUUUCCUAUCCUCCUCUUGUCCCUUCAUUGGGCCCAUCACAUCCCAGCCCAGCUCACGUUCUCCUACUGUCACCGUUACUGCUGUCGGGACUGGAACGCCACAUCACGCUGGCCGAUCCGUCUCCAGAUUAGACAUCGCACUCCCACGAUCAGGCAGCAGGUCCCUCUUUUCACCUGGCCUUCAUACAUUCCUCCUCAUAUCUGGGGCCUCUCUCCUCCCAGUGCUCAGCUAGCCUGCUUUUAAAAGGUCUUUACACAGCUGAUAGGUCACCCAUACCUCAGCAGGUGAUACCUAUCAACUAAUUUAUCCCAUGCUCAGCCAACCCACAGUGGAUUAAAACAAUGUCCAAUAACACACUAAAAACAUGCAAUACAAACAGAAUAAAAUCAUGCAAAUGAAAACUACACUCAUAAAUAAACACUAAAAAUCAGAAUAAAACCAAGCCAUUUAAAUCAGCUGUGUUGGAUCAAAAACACAUCUAAAACCUGCAGGACACCGGCCCUCGAUCCAUUAUAUAACUUUUUAUUCUUGUCUGAGUUUAAGAAGAUAAGAACUGUGUUGCCAAUCCAUGAUUAUACUUUUGAGCAAGAAAAAUAAAGUUUAUUGUUGUAUGUGUUAGAAAUGUGUUAAAUUGUUUGUUGAGUUAAACACAGAAUUAUGAUGAAUUAUGAUUCAUAUGGGAUUUUGCUGAUGAUUAAUUAUGCUCACACUGAUCAGAACAUAAUCAGUAUCUCUCUCUCCCUCUCUAUACAUAUAUAUAUAUAUAUAUAUAUAUGUAUUUUGAAAGCCACACUGACUGUUUUAAAAGAAGUGGUCUGCUUGCAACUGCAUACGUGCCUGGUGAAGUUAGAACAGGGUGUACUCAGGAUGUGUCACCUACGAUCAUGGGGCCGCACAAUGGGAAACAGGAAACAACUGGGGGUGAAAGAUUAUUAUAAAUUACAUGGCAAUUAAUUGCAGACCCUGACCAAUGUUUUUAGGAGUGGUUGUAUUCAUUCCGAGUCUGAGAGAGACAGGUUGCCUCCCACCCGACCACGUUUGAUCGCCUUGCAAUCAAAAGUGGUUUCUCACUCUCAGCCUGCGGGUGACCAGUUGGUGGCCGUCCUAUUUUCACUCUGGUGUGACUGAGAAUCACCUAUUGUGUUCUACACUAACUCAGGAUUUAUUCAUUUAUUAUUCACUUUGCCAUAAUGUGAUAAUAUUAUUAGGCUAAUGACAUGUUUCCAUUGUUGGAGCUGUUUUCUUUGAAAUUUGUGACAUGCAAUGCCUUUGUGACGUCAGUGCUUCAUACAUUACUCAUCUACAGAGGCUGCAAAAUGCUGCUGCUUGUCUUUUAACUGGCACUCAAAGGUUUGAGCACAUUUCCCCUAUUUUAGCUUCACCUUGUUUGUUCGCAAUUUCUAUAACUUCCGAGACCACCAACGAUAAUAUUAUUCAGCUAUAAAGUGUGAUGUGAACAUAUUUACAACUUACCGGAAUGAAAAUGUCUGGAGCACACUAACUGAUAUCUGGAGAUGGAAGAGAACUUGAUAUCAGCUCGUCUCACGGCUGCUAUCCAGGCUAGACGCCUUCGUUUGGUAACAUCUGAUACAUGAGCUCCUUCAUGUUGCUUCCAGGUUGGGAAAGCAUAAAAAGACAACCCAAGCUUAUUCCCGUGCCGGUCGUACGAUCGAACAUUGCAGCCGACCACACAGCAAGUACGAACCAUGGCUGUUAUGUGUGCUUUCGCUCCUUUUUCGCUUGCGCUUGAUGCACACAUGUAUGAAUUGAAUGUUGGUACUUGGGACAUAAAUGUUGUCUUUGGUGUACCAAUCGGGAUUCUCCUUUUUCGUGAUGGCAUCUUUCUGUUUCCGUUUGAUCAAAAUAUUUGGACUUCUGGUCAUUUGACACUGUGGACAGAAGAUCAUAAGAACACACACUGUCAGCAUGUAUGAUUACACAGCAGCACUGCUACUACACAUUACUACAGGACUACUGGUACACAUUCACAAAAAUAAGCAUAAAACAUGAACAGAUGCAUAAUUCUAUGCACAGAGUUAUACAGUUACCCUCUCUCCCACUACUGGAUUUAAGGCUGCACUUCCAGUGAUGUUUAGCUCAGCCAUUACCUGUGACCUCUGCUCCUUCAGAUACAACAUGAAGGCGUUUGGUUGUUUUUUAGUAUACGCCCAGUCUUCAUCCUGCUGGGAUUGUCGGCUUCUUUUUCUACAGGAAUAAAACACAGAGUAAACGCAUGUGUUACCUCUGUGUACAACUGUGAGGAAAGCAGUUUAAUAACAUGAGUAAAGCUGUAAACCUGAAUGAAAGGAGGCACCAUUGAAGAGGCUGAUUAGCGAUAGAUCAGGUGACGGUACUAGAGACAGAGCUACUGAGUGUAGUGAUAUUUGUUGAGGAAGUUGAGCAGGUGCUUGAGCGGCUAGCUGAGCUGCAGGUGCUUGAGCGGCUAGCUGAGUUGGUUGUACUGUGGGUUUUGUUGGUUUUUUUUGUUUUCGGGUCGUCGGGAGCCGACUCUUAGAGGGGGGGGUACUGUCACGGACCCGGCUCUGGGGACUCGGGAUCCAUAAGCAGUGGGGACUAUGAUUGUUGUUGUUGUUAUUAUUAUUAUUAUUAUUAUUAUUAUUAAUAUUAUCAUCAUUUGGUGUGUCGUCUGCACUGCCUCUGGUCUCUGUCCGCAUCUGUAUGUAGGCAGAUAUAUGUGUGUGUGUUGCUGUUUUCUGUGGCCAAGUUACAGGCACCUUCAGGCCUGAGGGGCGUGGCCUGGCUUGAGGACUGGCCACACCCGAAGUCCUAGCCACACACCUGCUCCUCAUCUGGGCUCGUUGAGGGAGCUAUUUAGAAGAGCCAUGGAGCUUCCACCGACGUGGGAUUAUUGCGUUUGACGACAUGAGGAAUGCGGGUCCGAGAGCAGUGAGCACGGGGAAUGCAGAGACACAGGAGCAGAGAGCACUACACUGGGACUUUUUGGGAAGAAGACAUGACACGGGAGUCACGGGAGAGCACGGGGAUUAACUGUUAUUGUUUCCUGCACUGUAAAUAAACGCACCGUUGCAGUGAAGAGUCCUGCAUUUUGGGUCCUGUCUUCCCCGCAGACCGUGACAUAUCCAACUAAUGACAUGUCACAAAGCUCAAAUCAUCUCAAACUGGUUAAAACAAGCUUUAAAAAAUGUGUCAUUUUAAAGUGUUCUCCACAUGAAUGUACAAAAGAGUUGUUUAAUAAAUGAUAAAGACUUAUCCAGUGGUUAUAAAAUGGAGCAACAUUUGCAUAAUAACAACAGAUUCCAAUGAAAUCAAUAACACUGCUGACUGAAAUGUUAGAUGUGCACUUGAAGCCAUUUAUAAAUCGUAACUCUUUGAUCGGCUCCUCUCCACAAAAAAGCACAAGCAUACAUUUUGGGGCAUUGAACUGUAUUUUUAACCUUAUGGCAAAUCACACUAUACAAAUUAAUUAAGCAAUAAACAAUUAAAUGACAGAAAAGUUUGUUUUCCAUUUUCUGAAAGGGGAGUUUCACUGGUCUGACUCAAUUAAGAGAAAAGUGGGCGGUAUGUCACCUACAAUGUAAAAUGUGUUGAAACUCUGGUAAAUACUGAGGCACAUGCUUUUUGUUUUUGAUGUAAGUCAUGCGCCCAGGUUUGGAAAUUCCUUCACACUGUCAUCUAUCCCAGGAAUAGAUGGAUCCCAGGAAAUGAGUCAAAUAUGAUCAAAUUAACGAGGGCUCAUUUAGCUAUGAUGGAAGUGUAAACUGUUGCAUAAAAUGAUCUGAGUACUUAAAAAUUA